AGCAGUCGCCGCGGGAAUACGGAGGGGGCUAGCGUUGUUCGGAAUUACUGGGCGUAAAGCGCACGUAGGCGGCUUUGUAAGUUAGAGGUGAAAGCCUGGGGCUCAACUCCAGAAUUGCCUUUAAGACUGCAUCGCUUGAACGUCGGAGAGGUGAGUGGAAUUCCGAGUGUAGAGGUGAAAUUCGUAGAUAUUCGGAAGAACACCAGUGGCGAAGGCGGCUCACUGGACGACUGUUGACGCUGAGGUGCGAAAGCGUGGGGAGCAAACAGGAUUAGAUACCCGUGUAGUCCCUGUCUCUUAUAC
This 303-nucleotide ribosomal RNA is filed under the name uncultured bacterium. RNAcentral's name for it is "partial 16S ribosomal RNA". It matches the Rfam family "Bacterial small subunit ribosomal RNA", at positions 507 to 807 of the family's 1533-position model. The record is from RNAcentral.